GACAGAGGGUGCAAACGUUGCUCGGAAUCACUGGGCGUAAAGGGCGUGUAGGCGGGUAGAUAAGUCGGGCGUGAAAUCCCUAGGCUCAACCUAGGAACUGCACUCGAAACUGUUUAUCUUGAGUGCCGGAGAGGAAAGCGGAAUUCCUGGUGUAGAGGUGAAAUUCGUAGAUAUCAGGAGGAACACCAGUGGCGAAGGCG
Molecule: ribosomal RNA, 200 nt
Filed under: uncultured bacterium
Lineage: Bacteria
Description: partial 16S ribosomal RNA
Rfam family: Bacterial small subunit ribosomal RNA
Source: RNAcentral